Long non-coding RNA from Carya illinoinensis, 805 nucleotides. RefSeq lists it as uncharacterized. The transcript is spliced from 4 exons. The record is from RefSeq and is a predicted model, not a curated record. Lineage: Eukaryota; Viridiplantae; Streptophyta; Magnoliopsida; Fagales; Juglandaceae.
CUCGUUACAAUAGGAAAGAAACAAGAGAAAUCAUACAUGUUAAUAAAAAAUGUGCUCAUUACUGAACAAAAAUAAAAAUAAAAAUAAAAAAUAUGCAUGCAUGAUUUUGCCCCUUUUUUCCCAUAUCUGAUUUGGAAGUUCUUCUUUUCUCAUAUCUGCUUUGACUGGUUUUGCGGUAUUUUGAUUGGUUUUGCAGUGGUCUGAUGGGUGAUUGGAAGCCUCGGGGGAGAGUUCAAGGGACAUUGCACCUUUGUCUUUGAAGGUAUUAUUGGUUGGGGACUUUUAGAGUUCAAAAUUUUUGGUAUUUAUCUUUGAAUAGUAAAGGAGAGGAAGGGAUAACCGUCGGAAUUUGCUUGCCAGUCCCAGGCUCCAGCAAUGGAAAUAUUCGUCAACGUGUUGGAUUUUUUUCUGGAAUGCCGGAGAGUGGCAAGAAAUCCACUUUCAAUGCGUCUAAACUGUGAAACUCAUGAUCAACGUACGUCCUUUGGAAGGCAAGUCGUUCGAAUAAAGAAACUUGAAUGGGAAUCUUUUUCCAUUGAUCUCCUGCCUCAUCCUGAUGUUCAUGGAUGCCAAUUUAGCCUGCUCCCGAGGGGGAGGAAAGGAAACCAGAGAGUCGAUGAUGGCGCAAAACGAGUUUUGUUUGGGCGGAGAGCGCUUUAUAGAAGGAAUAUUUGGACAAGGUUAUGUACUACAAAUCUGACUUUUUAAUUAUAUAUAUAUAUAUAUAUACACAUACUAGGCGCAACUCCGGGCUGUAUGGAUACAUAUAUUAUAAUGGUAAUAGAGAAUAUCUGACUCUACACCA